CGGAGGGUGCAAGCGUUAUCCGGAUUUACUGGGUUUAAAGGGUGUGUAGGCGGACUUUUAAGCAGGGGUGAAAUCCCGAGGCUCAACCUCGGAACUGCCUUUGAUACUAUUGGUCUUGAAUCUUGUUGAGGUGGCGAACGGGUCAUGUAGCGGUGAAAUGCAUAGAUAUGACCCGGAACACCGAUUGCGAAGGCAGCCCGCUAAGCAAGCAUUGACGCUGAGGCACGAAAGCGUGGGGAUCAAACAGGAUUAGAUACCCUGGUAGUCCACGCCCUAAACGAUGAUUACUCGACGUUGGCGAUACACUGAUCAGCGUCCAAGCGAAAGCAUUAAGUAAUCCACCUGGGAAGUACGUUCGCAAGAAUG
RNAcentral lists this ribosomal RNA (366 nucleotides) under uncultured organism. RNAcentral describes it as "bacterial SSU rRNA". It matches the Rfam family "Bacterial small subunit ribosomal RNA", at positions 526 to 896 of the family's 1533-position model. The record is from RNAcentral.